This 799-nucleotide ribosomal RNA is filed under the name uncultured bacterium. RNAcentral's name for it is "bacterial SSU rRNA". It matches the Rfam family "Bacterial small subunit ribosomal RNA", at positions 8 to 832 of the family's 1533-position model. The record is from RNAcentral.
AGAGUUUGAUCCUGGCUCAGGACGAACGCUGGCGGCGUGCCUAACACAUGCAAGUCGAGCGAGGGACUUCGGUCCCUAGCGGCGGACGGGUGAGUAACACGUGGGUAACCUGCCUCAUAGAGGGGGAUAGCCUCCCGAAAGGGAGAUUAAUACCGCAUAACAUCAUGCUGACACAUGUUAGUAUGAUCAAAGGAGUAAUCCGCUAUGAGAUGGGCCCGCGGCGCAUUAGCUAGUUGGUGAGGUAACGGCUCACCAAGGCGACGAUGCGUAGCCGACCUGAGAGGGUGAUCGGCCACAUUGGAACUGAGACACGGUCCAGACUCCUACGGGAGGCAGCAGUGGGGAAUAUUGCACAAUGGGCGAAAGCCUGAUGCAGCAACGCCGCGUGAGUGAAGAAGGCCUUCGGGUUGUAAAGCUCUGUCUUUUGGGACGAUAAUGACGGUACCAAAGGAGGAAGCCACGGCUAACUACGUGCCAGCAGCCGCGGUAAUACGUAGGUGGCAAGCGUUGUCCGGAUUUACUGGGCGUAAAGGAUGCGUAGGUGGAUAUUUAAGUGGGAUGUGAAAUACCCGGGCUCAACUUGGGUGCUGCAUUCCAAACUGGAUAUCUAGAGUGCAGGAGAGGAAAGUGGAAUUCCUAGUGUAGCAGUGAAAUGCGUAGAUAUUAGGAGGAACACCAGUGGCGAAGGCGGCUUUCUGGACUGUAACUGACACUGAGGCAUGAAAGCGUGGGGAGCAAACAGGAUUAGAUACCCUGGUAGUCCACGCCGUAAACGAUGGGUACUAGGUGUGGGAGUUGU